AUCGAACGCUGGCGGCAUGCCUUACACAUGCAAGUCGAACGGCAGCACGGGAGCAAUCCUGGUGGCGAGUGGCGAACGGGUGAGUAAUAUAUCGGAACGUGCCCAGUCGUGGGGGAUAACGUAGCGAAAGCUACGCUAAUACCGCAUACGAUCUAUGGAUGAAAUCGGGGGAUCGCAAGACCUCGCGCGAGUGGAGCGGCCGAUAUCAGAUUAGGUAGUUGGUGAGGUAAAGGCUCACCAAGCCGACGAUCUGUAGCUGGUCUGAGAGGACGACCAGCCACACUGGGACUGAGACACGGCCCAGACUCCUACGGGAGGCAGCAGUGGGGAAUUUUGGACAAUGGGCGCAAGCCUGAUCCAGCAAUGCCGCGUGCAGGAUGAAGGCCUUCGGGUUGUAAACUGCUUUUGUACGGAACGAAACGGCGAGCUCUAAUACAGUUUGCUAAUGACGGUACCGUAAGAAUAAGCACCGGCUAACUACGUGCCAGCAGCCGCCGUAA
RNAcentral lists this ribosomal RNA (500 nucleotides) under uncultured bacterium. Its description in RNAcentral is "partial 16S ribosomal RNA". It matches the Rfam family "Bacterial small subunit ribosomal RNA", at positions 30 to 523 of the family's 1533-position model. The record is from RNAcentral.